GAAAAAAUUCAAUUUUGCAAUUAAGAGCUUGAAUAACGGAACUGAUAGAUAAAAGAUUAAUGGGAAAGUUGAGAAUAUGAAGAGCUGAAGUGAGAUACAUAUUGGGACUGUGUGUAACAAAACUUGUACCAGAAAUUGUUGUUAAGGAAUCGUCCGCUAUACAGGCUUUUUCUUUUCCUGAGUAUGAAGAAUAGGUAGAAAAUUUAUUUGA
This 211-nucleotide unclassified non-coding RNA is filed under the name Hevea brasiliensis (rubber tree). Lineage: Eukaryota; Viridiplantae; Streptophyta; Magnoliopsida; Malpighiales; Euphorbiaceae. The record is from RNAcentral.